GGAGGUUUGGCAGAGUGGUUUAUCGCUCCUGCUUGCUAAGCAGGUAAUCCGAAAGGGUUCAGAAGUUCGAAUCUUUUAACCUCCG
This 85-nucleotide transfer RNA is filed under the name Caudoviricetes sp. RNAcentral's name for it is "tRNA-Ser". It matches the Rfam family "tRNA". Rfam says of the family: Transfer RNA (tRNA) molecules are approximately 80 nucleotides in length. Their secondary structure includes four short double-helical elements and three loops (D, anti-codon, and T loops). Lineage: Duplodnaviria; Heunggongvirae; Uroviricota; Caudoviricetes. The record is from RNAcentral.